RNAcentral lists this non-coding RNA (1056 nucleotides) under Caenorhabditis japonica. Its description in RNAcentral is "Eukaryotic large subunit ribosomal RNA". It matches the Rfam family "Eukaryotic large subunit ribosomal RNA", at positions 800 to 1814 of the family's 3401-position model. The record is from Rfam by way of RNAcentral. Lineage: Eukaryota; Metazoa; Nematoda; Chromadorea; Rhabditida; Rhabditidae.
GCAGUAGGCAAGCGACCCGAAAGAUGGUGAACUAUGCCUGAGCAGGAUGAAGCCAGAGGAAACUCUGGUGGAAGUCCGUAUCGGUUCUGACGUGCAAAUCGAUCGAUAGACUUGGGUAUAGGGGCGAAAGACUAAUCGAACCAUCUAGUAGCUGGUUCCUUCCGAAGUUUCCCUCAGGAUAGCUGGAACUCUUGCAGUUAUAUUCGGUAAAGCUAAUGAUUAGAGGCCUUGGGGACGUAAUGUCCUCAACCUAUUCUCAAACUUUCAAUGGAUAUGGCGUCGCAGUUUCUUUAGUGAACUGCGGCGUGAAUGCGAGUUCCAAGUGGGCCAUUUUUGGUAAGCAGAACUGGCGCUGUGGGAUGAACCAAACGUGGAGUUAAGGUGUCCUAACUUCUCGCUUAUGAGACCCCAUAAAAGGUGUUGGUUGAUAUUGACAGCAGGACGGUGGCCAUGGAAGUCGGUACCCGCUAAGGAGUGUGUAACAACUCACCUGCCGAAUCAACUAGCCCUGAAAAUGGAUGGCGCUUAAGCGAGAGACCUAUACUCCGCCGUCGCGGCAUGUGCGUUGUCUAGCGCCAGGUCGCGACGAGUAGGAAGGACGUGGCGGUUGCGUUGAAGGCUAUGAGCGUAGGCUCGGCUGGAGCUUCCGUCAGUGCAGAUCGUAAUGGUAGUAGCAAAUAUUCAAGUUCGAUCCUUGAAGACUGAAGUGGAGAAGGGUUCCACGUGAACAGUAGUUGGAUGUGGGUCAGUCGAUCCUAAGGUACUGGCGAAAGCCUUGUAUCAUCGGUGGCGAAAAGCUUGCUUUUUGUCCCCGCCCGUCGAAAGGGAAUAGGGUUAAUAUUCCCUAACUGAGAUGCAAAGAUUGUGUUCUUCGGAGCACAAGCGCGGUAACGCGUUCGAACUUGGUAAGUCGCUCAGAGACCGAGCUAGAGUUUUCUUCUCUAGUUAAGGAACGGACUCCCUGGAAUUGGUUCAGCCAGAGAUGGGGACGUUGUUUCCGAAAAGCACCGCGGUUUCUGUGGUGUCUCGUGCUCUCUGAACGGCCCUUUAAACACC